GAUUUUACGGUAGUAAAUAUUCUCUGCCAUGCAGUCGUACAAGGUAGCCAUUCAGUGUGUGCUCGAGUGGCGAACGGGUGAGUAACACGUGGGUGAUCUGCCCUGCACUUUGGGAUAAGCCUGGGAAACUGGGUCUAAUACCGAAUAGGACUGCGCUCUUCAUGGGGUGUGGUGGAAAGCUUUUGCGGUGUGGGAUGGGCCCGCGGCCUAUCAGCUUGUUGGUGGGGUAAUGGCCUACCAAGGCGACGACGGGUAGCCGGCCUGAGAGGGUGACCGGCCACACUGGGACUGAGAUACGGCCCAGACUCCUACGGGAGGCAGCAGUGGGGAAUAUUGCACAAUGGGCGCAAGCCUGAUGCAGCGACGCCGCGUGAGGGAUGACGGCCUUCGGGUUGUAAACCUCUUUCAGCACAGACGAAGCGCGAGUGACGGUAUGUGCAGAAGAAGGACCGGCCAACUACGUGCCAGCAGCCGCGGUAAUACGUAGGGUCCGAGCGUUGUCCGGAAUUACUGGGCGUAAAGAGCUCGUAGGUGGUUUGUCGCGUUGUUCGUGAAAACUCACAGCUUAACUGUGGGCGUGCGGGCGAUACGGGCAGACUGGAGUACUGCAGGGGAGACUGGAAUUCCUGGUGUAGCGGUGGAAUGCGCAGAUAUCAGGAGGAACACCGGUGGCGAAGGCGGGUCUCUGGGCAGUAACUGACGCUGAGGAGCGAAAGCGUGGGGAGCGAACAGGAUUAGAUACCCUGGUAGUCCACGCCGUAAACGGUGGGUACUAGGUGUGGGUUUCCUUCCUUGGGAUCCGUGCCGUAGCUAACGCAUUAAAGUACCCCGCCUGGGGAGUACGGCCGCAAGGCUAAAACUCAAAGGAAUUGACGGGGGCCCGCACAAGCGGCGGAGCAUGUGGAUUAAUUCGAUGCAACGCGAAGUAUCCUUACCUGGGUUUGACAUUGCACAGGACGCUGGUAAAAGAAUAUCAGCUUCCCUUGUGGGCCUGUGUGCAGGUGGUGCAAUG
This 1012-nucleotide ribosomal RNA is filed under the name uncultured Actinomycetes bacterium. Its description in RNAcentral is "bacterial SSU rRNA". It matches the Rfam family "Bacterial small subunit ribosomal RNA", at positions 28 to 1048 of the family's 1533-position model. The record is from RNAcentral. Lineage: Bacteria; Bacillati; Actinomycetota; Actinomycetes.